RNAcentral lists this transfer RNA (84 nucleotides) under Candidatus Falkowiibacteriota bacterium. RNAcentral's name for it is "tRNA-Leu". It matches the Rfam family "tRNA". Rfam says of the family: Transfer RNA (tRNA) molecules are approximately 80 nucleotides in length. Their secondary structure includes four short double-helical elements and three loops (D, anti-codon, and T loops). The record is from RNAcentral. Lineage: Bacteria; Candidatus Falkowiibacteriota.
GCCCGAGUGGUGAAAUUGGUAGACACGAGGGACUUAAAAUCCCUUGACAGCGAUGUCGUGCCGGUUCGAGUCCGGCCUCGGGCA